UACGUAGGGGGCGAGCGUUGUCCGGAGUUACUGGGCGUAAAGGGCGCGUAGGCGGUUCGCUAAGUUGAAUGUGAAAACUCUGGGCUUAACCCAGAGCCUGCAUUCAAUACUGGCGGGCUAGAGUUCUGGAGGGGAUAGCGGAAUUCCUGGUGUAGCGGUGAAAUGCGUAGAUAUCAGGAGGAACACCGGUGGCGAAGGCGGCUAUCUGGACAGAGUCUGACGCUGAGGCGCGAAAGCUAGGGGAGCAAACAGG
This 253-nucleotide ribosomal RNA is filed under the name uncultured bacterium. RNAcentral describes it as "partial 16S ribosomal RNA". It matches the Rfam family "Bacterial small subunit ribosomal RNA", at positions 524 to 776 of the family's 1533-position model. The record is from RNAcentral.